AACGAACGCUGGCGGCAUGCCUAACACAUGCAAGUCGAACGAGACCUUCGGGUCUAGUGGCGCACGGGUGCGUAACGCGUGGGAACCUGCCCUUAGGUUCGGAAUAACUCCCCGAAAGGGGUGCUAAUACCGGAUAAUGUCUUCGGACCAAAGAUUUAUCGCCUUUGGAUGGGCCCGCGUUGGAUUAGCUAGUUGGUAGGGUAAAAGCCUACCAAGGCGACGAUCCAUAGCUGGUCUGAGAGGAUGAUCAGCCACACUGGGACUGAGACACGGCCCAGACUCCUACGGGAGGCAGCAGUGGGGAAUAUUGGACAAUGGGCGAAAGCCUGAUCCAGCAAUGCCGCGUGAGUGAUGAAGGGCUUAGGGUUGUAAAGCUCUUUUACCCGGGAUGAUAAUGACAGGACCGGGAGAAUAAGCUCCGGCGAACUCCGU
Molecule: ribosomal RNA, 432 nt
Filed under: uncultured bacterium
Lineage: Bacteria
Description: partial 16S ribosomal RNA
Rfam family: Bacterial small subunit ribosomal RNA
Source: RNAcentral